AGCAAAUCCCACAGCACCCCAGUGUGAUGUCAGCAAACCCCACAGCCCCUCCAGUGUGAUCCCAGCAAACCCCACAGCUCCUCCAGCAGCACCUCCCACCAGGUUAAAGUCAAACACAACAAGUUAUACUUAAAAUAAUCAAGUGCCAGCAGCCCAGUAUUCCUGGUUCCCUAUUUCAUUUCCAACCCACCCCGUGACUAAACGUCUCCCCAGACCCCUGAUGUGACAAGGCAGUUCUGAAGGCAGAUAAUCCGAGGUGGGUGAGGCUGCUCCAGCACGCCGGGAAAUCCGCAGCGGAGCUGGCAGAGCUCCACUGGAAGAGCUGAUCAAUAGUUUAAAUCCAUAUCGGAUCAAAAAGGCAGAGGAGACUCACACAAAGCCAGUCCAGCCGUUAGGAACAGCUCCGAGCCCAGCCCAGCCCGGCAUCCCUGCGGAAGGUGUGCCCGGCACGGCGGCUCCCGACUGCCAUGGUGCCCCCAGAGCACAAACACGGGGAAAAUGAACCCCAAACCAACCAAAUCAAACAAAUCCAACCACCCCGGGGGUGGGAGCCCGCUGGGAUGAUCCCGGAGCUGCCGCAGCCGCCGCUGGCUCCGACCCCGGAGCCGCCGCAGCGAUGCCGGCGUAGGACAGGGAGCUGCAAAUCCCAGCGUUCCCGAUGGAUUCCAGCCUGGAAUGACACGAUGAGGAAUGACACGUGCCAAACGAUCCGCCCGCUGCUCCUCCGGGAUGAAGACCUUUUGUUCCCAAACCAUGAGACAACCAGAAGAUAAAUGAGGUUAAGAGGUAAUGAGCAGAACAGAAUGUCACCCUGGUCCUUGGGAAGACGUGGUCUCCUCUACUCUGGGAUAAGGAGAACUCAGUGCCAAAUUGGGUUAGCCCAGAAUUAAAUCUGGCAACACAAACAGAACAA
Molecule: long non-coding RNA, 913 nt
Organism: Pseudopipra pipra
Lineage: Eukaryota; Metazoa; Chordata; Aves; Passeriformes; Pipridae
Exons: 3
Source: RefSeq, a predicted model, not a curated record